UUGCACGCUGGCGGCAUGCUUUACACAUGCAAGUCGCACGGUAACAGGCCUUCGGGUGCUGACGAGUGGCGAACGGGUGAGUAAUGCAUCGGAACGUACCCAGAGGUGGGGGAUAACGCAGCGAAAGCUGUGCUAAUACUGCAUGUGAUCUGAGGAUGAAAGCGGGGGACCGAGCAGCAAUGUUUGGCCUCGCGCCUUUGGAGCGGCCGAUGUCGGAUUAGCUAGUUGGUGGGGUAAAGGCCUACCAAGGCGACGAUCCGUAGCUGGUCUGAGAGGACGACCAGCCACACUGGGACUGAGACACGGCCCAGACUCCUACGGGAGGCAGCAGUGGGGAAUUUUGGACAAUGGGCGCAAGCCUGAUCCAGCAAUGCCGCGUGCGGGAAGAAGGCCUUCGGGUUGUAAACCGCUUUUGGCAGGAACGAAACGGUGUCCGCUAAUACCGGGCGCUAAUGACGGUACCUGCAGAAUAAGCACCGGCUAACUACGUG
Molecule: ribosomal RNA, 491 nt
Filed under: uncultured bacterium
Lineage: Bacteria
Description: partial 16S ribosomal RNA
Rfam family: Bacterial small subunit ribosomal RNA
Source: RNAcentral